CCUGCCUGCAACUGUUGACUCCUGCGGAGCUUUGUGUCUCACUGAUCUACAUAUCCUACAGCUGAAUGUGGAAAAGAUAUAAACUUCUUGUGAUCUUGUCUGUCUUUUCUUCAGAUGUUGUUCAGGAAAGCAGGACAGCCCUUUGACUGUGACCGCUCUGAGAUGAUGGUCUGAGGAGUAGGUGUCUCUGUGGAUGCUGCAUAUCUG
This 207-nucleotide long non-coding RNA is filed under the name Cyanistes caeruleus (blue tit). RNAcentral describes it as "lncRNA (ENSCCEG00000011139.1)". Lineage: Eukaryota; Metazoa; Chordata; Aves; Passeriformes; Paridae. The record is from RNAcentral.